Molecule: long non-coding RNA, 356 nt
Organism: Cyprinodon variegatus (sheepshead minnow)
Lineage: Eukaryota; Metazoa; Chordata; Actinopteri; Cyprinodontiformes; Cyprinodontidae
Exons: 3
Source: RefSeq, a predicted model, not a curated record
GGAAAUGCGUCUGACGUAAAAUGUGACGAUCGCUGUAAACAACAGCAAACGAGCUAGCUUGUAAAAGUUAUGCAGUCUCAACAGUGUUUGAUCUGAAGCUCAAUUAUGUUGUGUGAAAUCCUUCUGUCAUCGCUAUGGUUCCUUUUUGUGAUCUUCUGGGCCGAGACAAUAAGUAUAUGGCUGUUUUUGUCGAUGUUUUACCAGGAUCAGGCAUUUUAUCACUGGGGAGAUGGGCAGUUUGGAGAUCCUGGGCAGAUGAUUUACGUGUUGAGCAGGUGGGAUGUUCCAGCUCUUGAUUAUUGAACUUAUGAAUCUAAUAAAUAAAUAUUAAGCUGUUACAACCAUUUCUUCAAGCU